This 492-nucleotide ribosomal RNA is filed under the name uncultured bacterium. Its description in RNAcentral is "partial 16S ribosomal RNA". It matches the Rfam family "Bacterial small subunit ribosomal RNA", at positions 29 to 507 of the family's 1533-position model. The record is from RNAcentral.
AGUGAACGCUGGCGGUAUGCCUAACACAUGCAAGUCGAACGGCAGCACAGUAAGAGCUUGCUCUUACGGGUGGCGAGUGGCGGACGGGUGAGGAAUACAUCGGAAUCUACUUUUUCGUGGGUGAUAACGUAGGGAAACUUACGCUAAUACCUCAUACGACCUACGGGUGAAAUCAGGGGAUCUUCGGACCUUUCGCGAUUGAAUGAGCCGAUGUCGGAUUAGCUAGUUGGCGGGGUAAAGGCCCACCAAGGCGACGAUCCGUAGCUGGUCUGAGAGGAUGAUCAGCCACACUGGAACUGAGACACGGUCCAGACUCCUACGGGAGGCAGCAGUGGGGAAUAUUGGACAAUGGGCGCAAGCCUGAUCCAGCCAUACCGCGUGGGUGAAGAAGGCCUUCGGGUUGUAAAGCCCUUUUGUUGGGAAAGAAAAGCAGCAGGUUAAUACCCCGCUGUUUUGACGGUACCCAAAGAAUAAGCACCGGCUAACUUCGUG